ACUUGGCAACAUGAAUCUCCUGCUUAGAACGACGCCUCCUCGGAUAGGGGACAGGAGGAGUGUAGACAGACUCGAGCUGCAUAGGUACUUGCACCUCACAAGGUGCAGUUCGGAUCCAGUGUUGAUCGACACUAGAGGGGUAUCGAUCGACACCGUCGUAUUGAGUUGUCUCUGAGAAAAGCGUCCCAUAUGGUGCCGAUCGACACAGGAGGGUGUCGGUUAACACCAUCUCUGCAACUGCGAGAUUCAACUCGUCUUCAGUGUCCAAUUCUUCCCACACAUCAUCUCCUUCUCUAAUCAAGAUGGCAUUGCAGCUCUUCCUUUGGUUAGCAUCAGGAUUACCAGGAAGAAAACCGUCAUGUCUCUUGAUAGAUUGUGCAGUUUGAGCUACCUGUACAUCUAGCUUCUUCAAGUGAGAGCUCAGAUUGUCGAUCUUCCCAUUAAGAUCUAUGUAGACAGCAUCAAACUUGCCAUUAAACUCCACAACAAGCUUUGUUUGGCUCUCUAGAAUCUGCUCAAGCAUCGAUUCCAUUCUUGUCUCUGAUGAGGGUGGAGGGGGGGGCUUGGUAAGUUGAAUUACCAUAGUUCCUCUGAAAGUUGCUUUGAGGAAAGGUCUUCUGGAAAGCAGGCUUUCGAGUGUAGUUGGAGGAACCCUGGUUUCCUGUAAACCUGUUGCCACUGAAGUUGCCUUGUGGCUGCCCAAACUUUAUGUAUCCCUGACCAUCUAUGUAGAAGACUCCUUCCUCUCACUCAGACUCAAUAGUCUCUUCCUCAGCUGCAAAGUGGACAUGCUUCUUCCCGGUGAGCAAGUUAUGAACUGAAUCCAGCUUAGCAUUCACCUCUGCCAUCUGAUUUCCUGAAAUAGCUCCAGCAAUCUUCUUCCUCUCAAAAUCAGCAUUCUUGGUACUGUUGCUGCAAGCAAGGUUCUCUAUAAGGGUUGUAGC
This 944-nucleotide small RNA is filed under the name Arabidopsis thaliana (thale cress). Its description in RNAcentral is "ATSL205330". Lineage: Eukaryota; Viridiplantae; Streptophyta; Magnoliopsida; Brassicales; Brassicaceae. The record is from RNAcentral.